Molecule: ribosomal RNA, 344 nt
Filed under: uncultured bacterium
Lineage: Bacteria
Description: partial 16S ribosomal RNA
Rfam family: Bacterial small subunit ribosomal RNA
Source: RNAcentral
CCUACGGGAGGCAGCAGUCGAGAAUCAUUCACAAUGGGGGAAACCCUGAUGGUGCGACGCCGCGUGGGGGAAUGAAGGUCUUCGGAGUGUAAACCCCUGUCAUGGGGGAGCAAAGUAAAAAGAUAGUACCACAAGAGGAAGAGACGGCUAACUCGGUGCCAGCAGCCGCGGUAAUACAGAGGUCUCAAGCGUUGUUCGGAAUCACUGGGCGUAAAGCGUGGGUAGGCUGUUUCGUAGGUCGAGUGUGAAAGGGGCGGGCGCAACCCGCUGACGGCACAUGAUACUGCGAGACUAGAGUAAUGGAGGGGGAACCGGAAUUCUCGGUGUAGCAGUGAAAUGCGUAG